RNAcentral lists this ribosomal RNA (792 nucleotides) under Salmonella enterica. Its description in RNAcentral is "partial 23S ribosomal RNA". It matches the Rfam family "Bacterial large subunit ribosomal RNA", at positions 398 to 1191 of the family's 2925-position model. Lineage: Bacteria; Pseudomonadati; Pseudomonadota; Gammaproteobacteria; Enterobacterales; Enterobacteriaceae. The record is from RNAcentral.
UGUGAGCUCGAUGAGUAGGGCGGGACACGUGGUAUCCUGUCUGAAUAUGGGGGGACCAUCCUCCAAGGCUAAAUACUCCUGACUGACCGAUAGUGAACCAGUACCGUGAGGGAAAGGCGAAAAGAACCCCGGCGAGGGGAGUGAAAAAGAACCUGAAACCGUGUACGUACAAGCAGUGGGAGCACCCUUUGGGGUGUGACUGCGUACCUUUUGUAUAAUGGGUCAGCGACUUAUAUUCUGUAGCAAGGUUAACCGAAUAGGGGAGCCGGAGGGAAACCGAGUCUUAAUUGGGCGUUAAGUUGCAGGGUAUAGACCCGAAACCCGGUGAUCUAGCCAUGGGCAGGUUGAAGGUUGGGUAACACUAACUGGAGGACCGAACCGACUAAUGUUGAAAAAUUAGCGGAUGACCUGUGGCUGGGGGUGAAAGGCCAAUCAAACCGGGAGAUAGCUGGUUCUCCCCGAAAGCUAUUUAGGUAGCGCCUCGUGAAUUCAUCUCCGGGGGUAGAGCACUGUUUCGGCUAGGGGGCCAUCCCGGCUUACCAACCCGAUGCAAACUGCGAAUACCGGAGAAUGUUAUCACGGGAGACACACGGCGGGUGCUAACGUCCGUCGUGAAGAGGGAAACAACCCAGACCGCCAGCUAAGGUCCCAAAGUCAUGGUUAAGUGGGAAACGAUGUGGGAAGGCCCAGACAGCCAGGAUGUUGGCUUAGAAGCAGCCAUCAUUUAAAGAAAGCGUAAUAGCUCACUGGUCGAGUCGGCCUGCGCGGAAGAUGUAACGGGGCUAAACCAUG